This 2103-nucleotide long non-coding RNA is filed under the name Citrus x clementina. RNAcentral describes it as "Citrus clementina (C. clementina) long non-coding RNA (CCLE_LNC004199)". Lineage: Eukaryota; Viridiplantae; Streptophyta; Magnoliopsida; Sapindales; Rutaceae. The record is from RNAcentral.
GUGUGUGUGUGUGUAUAAUUUUAAAGUGUGGGAAAAUUUAGAAAAAUACAUAAACCGUGCGGUUUAAGCGCUAUAAAAAUGUUCUAAUUUAGAAUUUUAAAGUAUAAAAAAGUUCGAGAAAACGCAUAAACCGUGCGGUUUAAAUACUUUAAGUUUUAGGCCUUUUAAACCCCACAGUUCUCAUACUUUUUUUGUACUUUAAAAUUUCGGAUGAGAAGACUACUAUAUAUGUGUGUGUGUGUUCUGUGUGUGUUUACAUAUCAACAGAUGAGUUGAAUAGAAGGCUGCGUCCGGCACCUCCUAGCAUUUGUUCAGGUUCAUGUAGCAGUAGAAUUGAGUUCAUGUAGCAGGUUAGGAUUCCAUUCAUGCUAGAAACAUUGGUCAACUACAUCACAUUAAGGCUUAUAUCUCACAGAGUUUAGGAGAUUGUUAAUUUAGGAUCAUUUCAUGAUAAUGUUAGUAACUCUUUGCUGGGCCACCAAAAACUUUUACAUGUUUUUCUUUCAACUUUGACACAGUUAGAUGGGACUUUGUAGGCGUAGUCCUGAACAUCCUGGGCUUUCCGGAGAGGGUAGUGCAAUGGAUCAGGGAAUGCAUCUCCACUCCUCAGGUCACUAUUGUCACUAACGGCCUAAGUGAUGGAAGCUCUCUCUUCAACUUCUCAAUUUUAGUAGCAUCAUGGCCUACAAUCAAUAUGUCAUCCACAUAAAGUAAGAGAAUGAUAAAAUCAUCAGCGGAAACCUUCGUCACGGGUGCCAUCCGACUGCAACAAAGAACCGGGAUACAAGGAAAGGGGCAGCCUUCAACCAAUAGCAAUCGCGCACCUAAACAACAUAGAAAGAAUGGGUCUUCUCCUAGUGGGAUAGCAAAGAAGGAUCUCUCCUAUCCCGUAGUGCUUGUCUACGAGAACGCAUAUCGCUUUUUCUAUGUCAGAAAAUAAGUAUUAGGAGAGCUCCAAGGUAUUUCUAGGAAAACCGACAGAAAGCUCCAAGCAUUCAACUUCAAUACAGUUACUUCACACCUUUUCAAUCGUACAUCUACUCUCAACAAUCUCUGUUUCUUUUGUAAUAUCAGAAUUCGCAUAAUUCCUUCCGUGGAUGUAGAAUAUAGUGUAUAUAUCCUUUUCUCAAUAAAACAUGGAUAUAAGAAGAAUAUAAAUAUUAUAUGAAAGGAAAUUUGUAAGGUCGGAUACAUUCAAUUCAACCAAAACCAAGUAAAUAAGAUUGUAUAAUUUGCACUUAAACAUGAAUCUACAAUCUGGUAACAUGGUAAAAUAUUAAUCCAUAUCAUCUUGAAUUAUGUAAUUAAAAAAUUUCAACAUAUACAGUAUAAAUGUUUAGAACGUGCUGUAAUUAUUGUUGCUCAUCCAAGAAAUAUCAGCUCCAUAGCUAUGAAAGAAGUGCAGGAAAACUGUUAUGCCUGCCCUUUCCAGUAAUUUCGUUCAAAUGGUAAUAGGGGUUUGUUGCUCAGAUAUGAAUGAGCUCUGAGACUUAGCCCUAUAGGCCAUAAAAUUAGGCCCGCAAGAUCUUUUUUAAGAAAAUUUUCCUUGUUUUUAGGUAUGGUAAUGGGCACUGUCCGUAUCGGAUUUGUCAUUACCACACAACGGAUUUGUCAUUAACGCUCAUGAAUUUUAAAUUGCAGAUUUUUAUCUUUUAAAGAAAAUUCAUUCUCUGUGUGUGUUGACAAUUAACAAAUCUGUAAUGAUAGAUGUUCAAUAUUUAAAAUCAUAGAUGUUCAAUAUGUAAAUUUGUAGUAAUAACCUAAAAUUCCAAAAAACAUACUCAAUUUUAAAUUUAACCAAUGUAAAUGAAAAAUUAAAUUUUCAACAUUAAUUCAAACAAAUUCUCAAAUUUAAGUAUAAAAUACAUAAAUCCAUAAAAAAGCUACUAACUAGUAUUUAAAAAUAACAAUUAUCAUUUCAUAUUGUCAUUCAACACAAGCUCCGAUCGAAAAUUUUCAUUUUAUUCACCACCAUUAGCACCCAUCCAACAUGAUUCCUAUAAUAAUACUUAAAAUUAAUAUUUUCUAAAGAAUGUUAAUUUUUAAACACUAAUCCGAAGAACAAAAUUAUAAUAAUGAAAUAAUCCAUGCAUUAAGUUAAAG